Molecule: long non-coding RNA, 281 nt
Filed under: Elaeis guineensis (African oil palm)
Lineage: Eukaryota; Viridiplantae; Streptophyta; Magnoliopsida; Arecales; Arecaceae
Description: long non-coding RNA (EGUI_LNC041165)
Source: RNAcentral
GAUGGUAUUGUAGAAGCUCGGAUGGCCGAGAGAGUUCAGAAAGAUGCUGCACAAGGUCGGAGGCCGGAAGAGUCCUGGGAGGGUUGGCCUCUUACGAACUUCGACAGGGGUUAUUUUAUACCCAACAAGUAGAGAGCCAUUUCAAAGGUGAAAAGACUCCAGUUCUUCUUGUAGAUAAGAUCUCCAAGAAGAAAAGCAAGAAGGAUUCUAAGAAAAAGAUGAACCAUAAGGCUUGCAUCUUGAAGAAGAAGACAAAGAAGGCCUCCGCCAAAGGUACUUGC